Homo sapiens (human) is the source of this 148-nucleotide non-coding RNA. It matches the Rfam family "Metazoan signal recognition particle RNA". From Rfam's summary of the family: The signal recognition particle (SRP) is a universally conserved ribonucleoprotein. It is involved in the co-translational targeting of proteins to membranes. The record is from Rfam. NCBI's taxonomy places the organism in Eukaryota, Metazoa, Chordata, Mammalia, Primates, Hominidae.
GCCAGGCAUGGUGGCGCAUGCCUGUAAUCCCAGCUACUCAGGGGGCUGAGGCAGGAGAAUUGCUUGAACCUGGGAGGCCGAGGUUGCAGUGAGCUGAGAUCACACCACUGCACUCUAGCCCAGGCAACAGAGUGAGACUCCAUCUCAA